RNAcentral lists this ribosomal RNA (587 nucleotides) under Debaryomyces hansenii. Its description in RNAcentral is "LSU rRNA". It matches the Rfam family "Eukaryotic large subunit ribosomal RNA", at positions 64 to 668 of the family's 3401-position model. Lineage: Eukaryota; Fungi; Ascomycota; Pichiomycetes; Serinales; Debaryomycetaceae. The record is from RNAcentral.
CGUCACGGGCAUUGCUUAGUACGGCGAGUGAAGCGGCAAAAGCUCAAAUUUGAAAUCUGGCACCUUCGGUGUCCGAGUUGUAAUUUGAAGAAGGUAACUUUGGAGUUGGCUCUUGUCUAUGUUCCUUGGAACAGGACGUCACAGAGGGUGAGAAUCCCGUGCGAUGAGAUGCCCAAUUCUAUGUAAAGUGCUUUCGAAGAGUCGAGUUGUUUGGGAAUGCAGCUCUAAGUGGGUGGUAAAUUCCAUCUAAAGCUAAAUAUUGGCGAGAGACCGAUAGCGAACAAGUACAGUGAUGGAAAGAUGAAAAGAACUUUGAAAAGAGAGUGAAAAAGUACGUGAAAUUGUUGAAAGGGAAGGGCUUGAGAUCAGACUUGGUAUUUUGCGAUCCUUUCCUUCUUGGUUGGGUUCCUCGCAGCUUACUGGGCCAGCAUCGGUUUGGAUGGUAGGAUAAUGACUAAGGAAUGUGGCUCUACUUCGGUGGAGUGUUAUAGCCUUGGUUGAUACUGCCUGUCUAGACCGAGGACUGCGUCUUUUGACUAGGAUGUUGGCACAAGGAGCGGAAGCCCCCCCCCCCGAAUGAGUAACCC